Long non-coding RNA from Alligator sinensis (Chinese alligator), 629 nucleotides. RefSeq lists it as uncharacterized. The record is from RefSeq and is a predicted model, not a curated record. Lineage: Eukaryota; Metazoa; Chordata; Crocodylia; Alligatoridae. The transcript is spliced from 3 exons.
UUGUGCACCCCCUCCCAGAUUCAGUUUUGCUGAGCUAGUCACAAGUUUGGAUUCCUAUCGCAUUGGGACUGAAGUGACCUAUCGCUGUCAGCCAGGUUUCAUUCGUGUUGGUGGAAAGUCUCCUGUCAUUACUUGUCAAGAUAACUCUACCUGGUCACAACCCUCCGAGUUUUGUGUGGCAAAACAGUGCCCAGCUCCAGACAUACCGAAUGGUCAGCCUAUUGUAACUGAUCUCCGGUUGGGUGCGAGAGUCAACUUUACCUGUUCUGCCGGGUACAGAUUAAUUGGCAGCCAUUCUCUUCGAUGUGUGCUCGAUGUCGGAAGCAAUGUUCGUUGGGAUGGCGAGUUUCCCUACUGUGAAAGUAAGAUGAUUACAUCUAAUGUCUUUGACUUGCCCUAGAUACAAGUGGGCUUGUGUCUGGUGAAGGAACCGAAGAGCAGUUGGAGCUGUUCUCUCUCUUCUUUGUGCCAUAGGGGGAUAAAGGGAGCCUGGGCACAGGUGUAGGCCCCAGUACACGAUGGUCUUACACACCCGUGAGCAUUCACACCUGUGACGUAGAAUACAGUGGCCAAGACCUCACAAAGCACCACAGUAACUGUAGAGUAGAGAACUGUUCCUUUCUACUGAG